GAUGAACGCUGGCGGCGUGCCUAAUACAUGCAAGUCGAACGAAACUUCUUUAUCACCGAGUGCUUGCACUCACCGAUAAAGAGUUGAGUGGCGAACGGGUGAGUAACACGUGGGCAACCUGCCCAAAAGAGGGGGAUAACACUUGGAAACAGGUGCUAAUACCGCAUAACCAUAGUUACCGCAUGGUAACUAUGUAAAAGGUGGCUAUACUACCGCUUUUGGAUGGGCCCGCGGCGCAUUAGCUAGUUGGUAGGGUAAAGGCUUACCAAGGCAAUGAUGCGUAGCCGAACUGAGAGGUUGAUCGGCCACAUUGGGACUGAGACACGGCCCAGACUCCUACGGGAGGCAGCAGUAGGGAAUCUUCCACAAUGGGCGAAAGCCUGAUGGAGCAACGCCGCGUGGGUGAAGAAGGUCUUCGGAUCGUAAAACCCUGUUGUUAGAGAAGAAAGUGCGUGAGUGUAACUGUUCACGUUUCGACGGUAUCUAAACAGAAAGCCACGGCUAACUACGUG
Molecule: ribosomal RNA, 512 nt
Filed under: uncultured bacterium
Lineage: Bacteria
Description: partial 16S ribosomal RNA
Rfam family: Bacterial small subunit ribosomal RNA
Source: RNAcentral